Molecule: non-coding RNA, 315 nt
Organism: Vicia faba (fava bean)
Lineage: Eukaryota; Viridiplantae; Streptophyta; Magnoliopsida; Fabales; Fabaceae
Source: the annotation of a GenBank genome assembly
AUGAUGAUGUUUAGCAUUUUCGUUCAUUGUGCAAUAAGUAAUAGAAUCAAGAACCAAUAUAUUACGAGAUAUCAGCUCCUUCCAAUCGCAUCUUUAUUUGCAAAAUCCCUAAAAGUUCUCUUCCUCGGGGUAUGCAAACAUGUUGUGCAGGUAAUCACAUCCGCAAACACAUUUAUUGAGAACUCAUCACCCUCCGGUGUCCUCCCUGUAUUUAAAAAAAGUCAUGUAUAUGUGUUUCUUAGUACAAGAUGCCACAAUGCUCCAGCUUCCUGUUGCAUUUCACCAGUUUUUCAAUACAAAAUGCAACAUGUGUAA